RNAcentral lists this transfer RNA (40 nucleotides) under Phrynosoma orbiculare (mountain horned lizard). Its description in RNAcentral is "partial tRNA-Leu". The record is from RNAcentral. Lineage: Eukaryota; Metazoa; Chordata; Lepidosauria; Squamata; Phrynosomatidae.
AGGCCUCUUACUUUUAAAGGAUAAGAGUAAUCCGCUGGUC